This 526-nucleotide ribosomal RNA is filed under the name uncultured bacterium. Its description in RNAcentral is "bacterial SSU rRNA". It matches the Rfam family "Bacterial small subunit ribosomal RNA", at positions 355 to 896 of the family's 1533-position model. The record is from RNAcentral.
CAAGGAAUUUUGGGCAAUGGGCGAAAGCCUGACCCAGCGACACCGCGUGAGGGAAGAAGGCCUUCGGGUUGUAAACCUCUUUUCUUGGGGAAGAAUUAUGACGGUACCCAGGGAAUAAGCCUCGGCCAACUACGUGCCAGCAGCCGCGGUAAUACGUAGGAGGCAAACGUUAUUCGGAUUUACUGGGCGUAAAGGGAGCGUAGGCGGUUCCUUAAGUCAGAUGUGAAAUCUUCUGGCUUAAUCAGAAGGUGUCAUUUGAUACUGAGGGGCUUGAGAGCAGCAGAGGGAAAUGGAAUUUCCGGUGUAGCGGUGAAAUGCGUAGAUAUCGGGAAGAAUACCAGUGGCGAAGGCGAUUUCCCAGGUUGUUUCUGACGCUGAGGCUCGAAAGCGUGGGGAGCGAAGCGGAUUAGAUACCCGCGUAGUCCACGCCCUAAACGGUGGACACUAGAUAUAGGAGGUAUCGACCCUUUCUGUGUCGAAGCUAACGCUUUAAGUGUCCCGCCUGGGGAGUACGGCCGCAAGGCUG